This 493-nucleotide ribosomal RNA is filed under the name uncultured bacterium. RNAcentral describes it as "partial 16S ribosomal RNA". It matches the Rfam family "Bacterial small subunit ribosomal RNA", at positions 29 to 523 of the family's 1533-position model. The record is from RNAcentral.
AUUGAACGCUGGCGGCAUGCUUUACACAUGCAAGUCGGACGGUAACAGGUUAAGCUGACGAGUGGCGAACGGGUGAGUAAUGCAUCGGAACGUGCCCGGUCGUGGGGGAUAACGCAGCGAAAGCUGCGCUAAUACCGCAUACGAUCUGAGGAUGAAAGCGGGGGACCGUAAGGCCUCGCGCGAUCGGAGCGGCCGAUGUCAGAUUAGGUAGUUGGGGGGGUAAAGGCUCACCAAGCCGACGAUCUGUAGCUGGUCUGAGAGGACGACCAGCCACACUGGGACUGAGACACGGCCCAGACUCCUAUGGGAGGCAGCAGUGGGGAAGUUUGGACAAUGGGCGCAAGCCUGAUCCAGCAAUGCCGCGUGCAGGAAGAAGGCCUUCGGGUUGUGAACUGCUUUUGUACGGAGCGAAAAGGCUCUCUCUAAUACAGGGGGCUCAUGACGGUACCGUAAGAAUAAGCACCGGCUAACUACGUGCCAGCCGCCGCGGUAA